RNAcentral lists this long non-coding RNA (7185 nucleotides) under Brassica napus (rape). Its description in RNAcentral is "long non-coding RNA (BNAP_LNC009157)". The record is from RNAcentral. Lineage: Eukaryota; Viridiplantae; Streptophyta; Magnoliopsida; Brassicales; Brassicaceae.
AACAUGAGCGGUAUGAGGCAAGAGUUGGUCCCUGGUUCUGUGUCAAUCAGUCUUGGUUGAUGGGUUCGGCAUUGUCUGGAUACCGAGUCUGCUUUUGCUCGUCUUGGGUCAGUUCUUGAGCACCUAACUAUUCUCUUGGGGACUUACUUAACUUAUGUUUUCCUCCAAUUGUUUUGGCUUGCUUACUUUUGUUUGUGCUGUUUAGAUUUAUUUUUGUUUUCUGCUACAACUUACCUCUGUAUCUUCUGUCACAAAUGGAAAAUUGGUAAUAAUACUUAAACAUUUUACCCAAAAAAAAAUUAUAUUGAUUGAUAGCUUGUUAUAUUGAGAACUAUUAUUUUAGUGUUCAACGUGGCUACAUCGAGUAUGUACCGAUAUCUUCUACUCCAUGUAGCCAUGUAGAAGAAGAUAUCGUAUAAUCAAAGAGUAAGAAGACAACAUACUGUAUUUUUGAAGUACAAAUGAACCUUCUCCUAUUUUUGCUGUAACCGUUUUUUCCUCCAUAACUUUUUGGCUAAUCUUAGAAUUGAGUUUUUGAUUUCGUUGACCAUGCCUAGAUUUAUAAUAAUGAGGUUCAUAAUCAGUUUUAGUUCGAGAAUAGAGAGGACAAUACGAUACAAGUACUGUAUGAUAUCUUUAAUAUGCCUUUUGUUCUUCUCAACAUCUAAACAAGAGCACUAAUGUACUUUCGAAACUUGGAAUCCCUUGGUUUUCAGAUACAUAUACAGGCUAGGCCAUCAUGACUUGGUCAUAAUAUUUGGAGCAAGACUCAUUUGCACUGUUUUGGCUUGCACUCACGAAUAGCUGCGACCCCACCAAAUGAGCUUCAUAAUUUUUCUUUCUUACACUUAUUAGCAUUAUUGUUUCUUUUUGAUACAGGUUUUACAAAAUUAUCAUGGAAAAUACUUGUUGAUUUGUUUAGUUGCAGAGAUCAUCUCUGUACUAACUAAAAUUUUGACUCUCUUUGUCUUCUGCACAAAACACAACACAGCGACCAAAUGGUAUUAUUUCUCUUCUCUUCACUCAGAUAUCUCUACCUCAGGGGACUUGUCUUGUUGCUUCUCAAGUGAUAUCAAGAUCAUCAACUUUGAGGGCACGAUCUUUGAUGGGGGAGGAGUAUUAACACUAAACACCUUGUAUGACAAAACUAUGAGUUGUAUAAUGUAUAUCUUUGUAUAAUGUAUAUCUAGUCCACUUACAUUGUUGUUGGCUUGGAAAUUUUCAAAGUAGAGUUGAGAGGGAGAUUUCAAAGAUUGAAGGAUAGAGAAUAUAAAAUUUUACAGUGACGAGGCCGAUGUAGAGGAUAAUCGAUCGUUGUGACGGCUUCGGACCACUCAACAGUUCCCCAAAUCUCGCCAGUUUCUUUGCGCCUUUGUAAAGAGAUCUCUGCACACCAAAUCUCCCAUUUCCUAUUAGCAGGAGAGUCCCAGAAGAGUAACAUGUUGGGACCAGAGUUGCUCAGUUUGUGACCGGGAAAUAUACCGUCAAGGUGUAGGGAUGGCAAACCCCAACCAUAAUUGACCACUUUGGAGGCACAAAGGGUGCCCCUUAGAUCCUCCAAGCCCAUAACUUGUCUCCACUUCAUCCCAACCGCGGACUCCUCCAAAUCACUUGCCUCACACCACAAUAUCCACCCACCGGUUACACAAGAGUAGAUGACAUUGUCGAUCACAUGCCAACCCUUUCUAAGUUCGUUGGUAUCCGAGUUCCCUGUUUUCCAUAUGCCUUGACUCGGAAUGUAAAGCAGUCCAUCACCUUUGUCAUUCAAACCGAAAAUCUUCUUUGUCUUCUCCUCCUCUAUCAGUGCGAUAAAUGGAAAAUUGGUAAUAAUACUUAAACAUUUUACCCAAAAAAAAAUUAUAUUGAUUGAUAGCUUGUUAUAUUGAGAACUAUUAUUUUAGUGUUCAACGUGGCUACAUCGAGUAUGUACCGAUAUCUUCUACUCCAUGUAGCCAUGUAGAAGAAGAUAUCGUAUAAUCAAAGAGUAAGAAGACAACAUACUGUAGUAAACAAAGUUUAAAAACAUAGUCUAAGCUAAACAAGAAAUUUAAUGCUGCUUAUGCCCGCCCCCGAGGAUCACCAAGCAGUUGUAUCUAUUUCCGAGGCGGUCAGGAAUGAGUAUGAAAUGUUCACUUUCUCUAACCUUCCUUGAAAUCUUUACUUCUGCUUGAUUCGGCUUGAAUGACGUCUCCUUUGAUGGCUCUGUGUCAGUCUGCGAAAAUCAGGAAGACUAUCAUGAUUAUGUACAAAAGCUUCCAAAACUACUUGAAAACUCCAAUUGUAAAACAAGAAUAAGCACAUUAGGUGAAAAAUAUUCAUUUUUCAGCCUAUAAGGCAAAAGAAAACUAUAAAAGUUUUUUUCAGAAUAAAUCUUACCUCAUUGUCAAGUUAUUUUUCUGCUUGUUUUGGAUUGGAUGGGGCCUCAUUCGAUGACUCUGUCUCAUUCUGGAAAAAUCAAAAAGGAUAUCAUGAUUAUAUACAAAAGCUUCCAGAACUACAUAAAAACUCUAAGUGUAAAAUAAGAUUUGAGCUUAUACGUGUUGUGUCUCAUUAGGGGGAAGAAACUUGAGUCCUAGUCUGUGGAGACAAUGGAGAGCCAAGUGUCGCAUUCGAUGACUCUGUCUUUCUACAAAAACAAAAUCAAGAAGGCUGUCAUGAUUAUGUACAAAAGCUUAAAAACUACUUGAAACUCCAAGUGUAAAACAAGAUUUGAGCAUAUAUGUGUUGUGUCAUAUUAGGAGAAAAAACUUGAGUCCCAGUCUGUGGAGACAAUGGAAAGGCAAGUGUUUCAUUCGAUGGCUCUGUCUCAUUCUGCAAAAAAAAAUCAGGAAGGCUAUCAUGAUAAUGUAUAAAUGCUUCCAAAACGUUUUGUUCUGACGAAAUCAAUGUUAUGAGUUGAACAAAUUGUAUUGAGUUUUUGUUUCUAUGUUCAGAUAGUACCAGAGAAGUGCAAAUAUGAAAUUUCAAGCCUUAUCGACUAAUUCUCUAUACGACUCAGCUUAAGAUACUAUGUUCUGAAUGCUAACUUAUUUUUAUGUAUGUUCCUAACAAGAAAAAGCUAUAAAUUUUAGAGGAACAAGAGAACUACAACAUCGACACACACAUGUUUGAAACAAUAUCAUAUCACCCAAUCUACCUGGAUGACACAAUCAGACCAAAAAUUUGAAUCUGAGAGAAAUAAAGCAUUGGUCAAAGAAGAACUAGGAACAUCAAAGAUUCAAAAUGGCUUACCAAAAAGUAAGGUCACGAACUCGUCUUCUUCCAUAAGCCAAGUUCUGUAAAUGAAACUUCCUGAGAUUCUUUCUUUGUAAUUUUGACUAUGUUCUCUCGGUUUGAUUUGAACAACAAACAAGCUCAAAUCUAUUAUAUGAAGAACUACAAAUUGAAACCCCCAAAUUUCAAUUCGACCCGAAAUUUUUGAAUUGAGAUUGAAAUUUUUCUUUGUAAACCAUUGUCAAUAUUGAUUGAAACAUACCGAUACACAGCUCGUUUCGUCGACAUGGAGGGAUAAUCACCGCUUCGUUCCUCGCCGGACUUCAACAGCUCGUCGCCGGAAGUGACUCGUCGCCGGAGAUUACUUCAUAUUUUUUUGGUGGAGACAAUAUUACAGUUGAAAGAAGGGCAUUAUAGUCUUUAGUUCUAUUAAUGAAGGCUAUUAUUCUGAUUUCCAAUUUGAGAGGAUACAUUUGAGACAAAAACUUAAAAAUGAUUAUUUAGGAAAAUAGCCCUUAAAUAAAUUUUAUUAAAUAAAUUAACCUUUUAGAUAUUAUUCCAUAACUAUCUAUCCGAUAAAUAAAUACUUAUAUAGCAAUGAUAUUAUCCUAAGUUACUAAACAAUGACCCUAUAUUACAUUCCUGUUGAAAAUAAUAAAUACUAACCAUGCAAAUCCUAAACCCCUGUGUACCUAUAUUAUAUUAUAUUUUAUUUGCCUUUUUAUAUUAUGAUAUGACACUUACAGGAGAAGGUAUAUUGAAUUGUUAAGUAACUUAGGAUUUACAAUGUGAUUUAAGUUUUGUUUGAUUUUUUAUUUCAAAAUAAAUAAUAACGUUCAGAACUUUGAGAUAUUUUCAAAAUAUGUAUAUUUUCAGAAUAGGUUUGUAAAAAGAAUAAUAUUUAGCAAAUAUAUCUAAUGUUAAAAUAUACACAACUCUACACUCUUCAAUUAUUCUCACUGUCUUUCAUUUGUCACUAAAAAAACUGACUUUUAAAAUACAAUAGUAUUUAUGAUAACAAAUGCUUAAUAAUUAUAUUUAGGUACGGAAUGUAUAGUUAUAGAAAUUAAACUUAUAAAUAUAUGUAACCUAUACUAAUUUAUUUGAAAAAAACAGUUCCGCGUUUUUAAAGCGCGGAUCAGAAUCUAAUUAUAUUUAAAAAACCUUUUCAAAAUUAUAACGAGAGAAAAAGUUUUUCUUAAAUAAAACUAAUCUAUUUGGUACUUUUUUAGUAAUCAGUGAUCCGGUAAGACUUAAAUUGUUCGAAAGUCUUGAAAAACAACAACAUCCAAUUAUAUCGCUUCCACUAAAUACUCUAAAAAUUUGAGCAAAAAAAUCAUAUAAAAACUUAGACCAUGCUCAUUAUCUAUACUGUUAAUUUAGACUAGAUGUUUUUCUGCACCAUGUGCAGUGAUAAAAGUUUACAUUAUAUUUUAAAAAAUUUGUUAAUAUUUUAUAUUUUAUUGUUUUGAACUAAUAUUUUAAUAAAAAUACUAAAUACUAAUUUAGUUAAACAUAGAAUUACAAUAAAAUAAAAAAUUUUGAUUUACUUAAAAUAAUUUCAAGUUAUAUUUAAAAUUAUAUUUUACAAAGAUAUUCAUUUAUUUAUUUUGGUUAAGAUAAAUUAAAUUAACUUGUAUACAGUAAAAUUGAUACAAAUUUUUUUAUAACUUUUUUUUUACAAAAAUAAACACUAAACUAUGAACUAAUUACUACCGGUUCAGAUAAUAUUUUUUUUAUAAUUAUUAAAAAAUAAAUAAAAAAUAAUUCCUAAAAUUUGUAGAUAUCAAAAAUAAACAAAUGAUAUCACGAUUAAAAAUUAAAUUUUUAAAAAAGGAUUGUAUAACAUUUUGAAAAUAUUUUUUAAUAAUAAAAUUUUUAUGAUUAUAAAAAUAUAUUUAAAUACUAUUUAGAAAUUUUAAAAUCUUUUAUAUUUCCAUUGUCAUAUUAUGUAAUGACAUAUUUGAAUAGAUUUAUUUUAAUGAUGAUUUAUGAGUUAUUACCAUAUUAUCAAAACUUACCAAAAAUUGAAAUUAACACUAAAUGUUGUUGUCCAUGUCACUUUUAACCAUAAACCGUGUCAUUAAUUUUAUUAUUUCAUGUCACAUUUUUGUGGUGAAAUUGAUUGUGGAGAUGACAUGCGUGAAAUCACUUCACAAAUAACGUCUAGACGAUUCUUAUAUUUAUCUAUUGAUAAAAAAAUUUCUUUUAACUUUUGGAACUUCUCAUAAUUCUAUCAUUUACUAUACACACGCUUUUUAUACAUCAUACUUAAUAUUGACUGAUUACUUAAUUUAAACAGAUAUUCUUUUAAACCAUACUUUGGUUUUCAAAUACAAAUAAAGAAAAAUACAAAGAAUCGCAACAAUACAAAUAAAGAACAAUUUAAUAUUCAUUUUUUUAUAUAAAUGUAAGCAAUAUUAUAUUGUAAAAGCUUUUUAUUCUCCAAAAUUCUCGUGUUGUCGUUAUAGCAAACUUGUUUUUUUUAUAUUAUAGCAUAAAACUAAAAUCAGUGAUUUUGAAAUAUUUUUAAACUUCUUCAUUUUUAGGUACCAAAUAUUGUAACAAGUUUUAUAUAUUUUUUUUUGAUUUUGCGUGGUAAAAUUUUGACUAUUAAAUAUAUUAUCGGAUUAGGAACUUGGAUUUGUUAGGAUAAAUUGGAUGGAUAUUGUUAAGAAAUUUUAUGAUCUAAUCUAUUUAUGUUAUACACUGUAGAAGCUUUUGUUUUUGAAACAUUUUGUAAUAAAAAAAAACAAAAUAUUUGUAGACAUUCAAAAUGUUACAUCAUUAAACUAUAUAUAUAAUAUAUAUACAGUGAAACGUCUAUAAAUUAAUAAUGUUGGGUUUAGAGCAAAACUAUAAAUUUUUUUAUUAAUAUAUAGAGAUAUUAAUUUAUAGAUAUACUAAUUAAAUCAAAAAUUCGAUUUGAGACUAUAAAAUAUAGAGAUUUUCGGUUUAUAUUAAUUUUCAGAUUUUUCAGAUCUCGGCGUUUCUUCCAAGUUGACUCAGUGGGAGUCCUCCUCCUUAGUCGGUGUGACUUUCGGCGGAGAUUGGUAGGUUUCUCCGGUUCUCCGGAAGCAUCGUUUUCAUCCUGGGCCCUACAUCCCAGCGCCGGCGAUGGAUCUCCGGUCUCGUCCGGUGUUUGCUGUUCCGGUUAUCGUUGCUGUCAUCGGGUCCGCUUUCAGUGUAUUUUGGCGUUGGAGCGAGUAUCGAGUCCGGUGGUGGCGGUUUGUUUACAUCCGCCGCCUACCACAUUGAAGCUGUGCCUUUCCACUUCAAUGUAAUCUCUUCUUCUCCUCUGUCCUCUGUGAACCUGAGUUGCGAUGCCUUGGCCUGCUCUGCUCUCGUAUGUGGAUCUCGGAUUGGUGUUGGCUGUAACAUGAGCGGUAUGAGGCAAGAGUUGGUCCCUGGUUCUGUGUCAAUCAGUCUUGGUUGAUGGGUUCGGCAUUGUCUGGAUACCGAGUCUGCUUUUGCUCGUCUUGGGUCAGUUCUUGAGCACCUAACUAUUCUCUUGGGGACUUACUUAACUUAUGUUUUCCUCCAAUUGUUUUGGCUUGCUUACUUUUGUUUGUGCUGUUUAGAUUUAUUUUUGUUUUCUGCUACAACUUACCUCUGUAUCUUCUGUCACAAAUGGAAAAUUGGUAAUAAUACUUAAACAUUUUACCCAAAAAAAAAUUAUAUUGAUUGAUAGCUUGUUAUAUUGAGAACUAUUAUUUUAGUGUUCAACGUGGCUACAUCGAGUAUGUACCGAUAUCUUCUACUCCAUGUAGCCAUGUAGAAGAAGAUAUCGUAUAAUCAAAGAGUAAGAAGACAACAUACUGUAUUUUUGAAGUACAAAUGAACCUUCUCCUAUUUUUGCUGUAACCGUUUUUUCCUCCAUAACUUUUUGGCUAAUCUUAGAAUUGAGUUUUUGAUUUCGUUGACCAUGCCUAGAUUUAUAAUAAUGAGGUUCAUAAUCAGUUUUAGUUCGAG